CGCUAGGACGAACGCUGGCGGCGUGCUUAACACAUGCAAGUCGAACGAUGACGAUGGUGCUUGCACCGUCUGAUUAGUGGCGAACGGGUGAGGUAACACGUGAGUAACCUGCCCUCCUCCUCGGGAUAACCGCCGGAAACGGUGGCUAAUACCGGAUAUGAAUGCCUGCCGCAUGGUGGGUGUUGGAAAGAUUUAUCGGUGGGGGAUGGACUCGCGGCCUAUCAGUUUGUUGGUGAGGUAAUGGCUCACCAAGGCGAUGACGGGUAGCCGGCCUGAGAGGGCGACCGGCCACACUGGGACUGAGACACGGCCCAGACUCCUACGGGAGGCAGCAGUGGGGAAUAUUGCACAAUGGGCGAAAGCCUGAUGCCAGCGACGCCGCGUGGGGGAUGACGGCCUUCGGGUUGUAAACCUCUUUCAGUAGGGAAGAAGCGAGAGUGACGGUACCUGCAGAAGAAGCGCCGGCUAACUACGUGCCAGCAGCUGC
This 487-nucleotide ribosomal RNA is filed under the name uncultured bacterium. RNAcentral describes it as "bacterial SSU rRNA". It matches the Rfam family "Bacterial small subunit ribosomal RNA", at positions 26 to 518 of the family's 1533-position model. The record is from RNAcentral.